AACGAACGCUGGCGGCAUGCCUAACACAUGCAAGUCGAACGGGAUCCUAGCUUGCUAGGUGAGAGUGGCGGACGGGUGAGUAACACGUGGGAAUCUGCCUUUUUGGUUCGGGAUAACCGCGGGAAACUGCGGCUAAUACCGAAUGCCCUCGAGAGAGGAAAGAUUUAUCGCCAGAAGAGGAGCCCGCGUCCGAUUAGGUAGUUGGUGGGGUAAAGGCCUACCAAGCCGACGAUCGGUAGCUGGUCUGAGAGGAUGAUCAGCCACACUGGGACUGAGAUACGGCCCAGACUCCUACGGGAGGCAGCAGUGGGGAAUAUUGGACAAUGGGGGCAACCCUGAUCCAGCAAUGCCGCGUGAGUGAUGAAGGCCUUAGGGUUGUAAAGCU
RNAcentral lists this ribosomal RNA (385 nucleotides) under uncultured bacterium. Its description in RNAcentral is "bacterial SSU rRNA". It matches the Rfam family "Bacterial small subunit ribosomal RNA", at positions 29 to 432 of the family's 1533-position model. The record is from RNAcentral.